This 1132-nucleotide small RNA is filed under the name Arabidopsis thaliana (thale cress). RNAcentral's name for it is "ATSL158200". Lineage: Eukaryota; Viridiplantae; Streptophyta; Magnoliopsida; Brassicales; Brassicaceae. The record is from RNAcentral.
UUGCAACUCUUACUUGACAAUGCAAGUGGAAUAUUGAUAAUAGGUUUUUUAGUCAAUUAUCCUAAAACACCAAUCAUGUCGUUGUAGUAUUUUAGGUUGUCAAUCCAAAUGGAUGUGAUGCUAACAAUCAAGAUGUGAUCAGAAGUCACUAAGUCAAGCCAAGCAAUAACAAAUUUUGGUGUGUUCUAGCAGUCCUAAAUGAACAUGCAUAAAACAGAAAAUCAAGCAGAAACAAUAAAACACUCGACCAACACAACUCGUAGCAGAGCACUGGGUGUGGUCGAGUGACAUGUCGAGUAACAGACAGAAAAUGUAACAGGAUACUCGACUACAUAGUCUGUUACCAGACAACUGGGUGGUCGAGUAUCAGGUCGAGUAACAGUAAAGAAUUGCAGAAACUAAGCAACAGAUGACAAGAUGCAGUAAACAGCAGUAGAGUAACCAAUAAAAUCAAUCGGAUAAAGAAUUUUCGAGGAUGGGGUAAUUGAGUAGUUUCGUUUCCUCAGUUUACAGGUGAUUGACAUGCUCAAUAAAUUAUCCCUAGACAACAAGUUCAUUAACCAAAUCUAAGUGCCACCGCAACAGAGACCCUCAAGUUAACCUAGUCCCAGACUCAAUCACCAUUGACGAGAGCUAACAUAACAGGCAUUACGAAUCAACAAGUUAAAGCCAAAACGCUCCCUGCAACCAAUACCUUGGUACAGGGCCACGAAUCUCUGGAAUUAGUGGUUCAGACAUUUCAUCGAACACCUUUUGGGCGCGGAAAUGUCUGGGCUCAAAUUCCAGUUGAUCAUAAAGCAAUAGGCAUUAAGAACAACUAAUCCAGAAGGGAUCUAUCAAUCAAUACUCAACCACCUAGCAUACUGAGAAUUCUACACUACUCUAACCCAUCCUCAGAAACCUAUUCACUACUCAGACAUCAUAGCAGAAAGCAUAAACGUUGAAUGGAAUGAAGACAUGAUAACAACAGUGUAAUAGCAGAAUGAUAACAGGAUGAACAACAGUAAACGAAAUCAAGAACAAAUACUGAAUACUGAAUAGAUAAAGAGAAAUCCGGAUUAUAAAAGGUCUAGAACACAGUGUCUGCGGAAUAAAACUAGAUAAAAACUUGUUCUCGAAAAUGUUAAAACAU